CCUACGGGAGGCAGCAGUGAGGAAUAUUGGUCAAUGGCCGGAAGGCUGAACCAGCCAAGCCGCGUGAAGGACGAAGGUGCCAAGCAUUGUAAACUUCUUUUGUCAAGGGACAAAAUCAGGCUCGAGAGCCUGACCGAGGGUACUUGAAGAAAAAGCAUCGGCUAACUCCGUGCCAGCAGCCGCGGUAAUACGGAGGAUGCGAGCGUUAUCGGGAUUUAUUGGGUUUAAAGGGUGCGUAGGCGGACUGUUAGGUCAGCGGUAAAAGCCCGGGGCUCAACCCCGGCGAGCCGUUGAAACUGGCUGUCGUGAGAUGUCGGGAGGUAUGCGGAAUGCGCAGUGUAGCGGUGAAAUGCUUAGAUAUUGCGCAGAACUCCGAUUGCGAAGGCAGCAUACCGGCGGCGAUCUGACGCUGAGGCACGAAAGCGUGGGUAUCGAACAGGAUUAGAUACCCGGGUAGUC
RNAcentral lists this ribosomal RNA (459 nucleotides) under uncultured bacterium. Its description in RNAcentral is "partial 16S ribosomal RNA". It matches the Rfam family "Bacterial small subunit ribosomal RNA", at positions 338 to 795 of the family's 1533-position model. The record is from RNAcentral.